CAGAUGAACUAGGGCAAACUCCGCAGCACGUCGUCGGAGAUGGAGAAGAGAAACAAGUUACAGGUAGCCGACAAGGUAAGUGGCCCCUCCGGUGACGGAGGGAACAGGAGGUGGGAGGACCUGGGCAGCGAACUCUUGGUGGCGAUCUUCUCGCGGAUCGGAGUAGAAGAUCUGAUAGCCGGCUUGCCCUAUGUGUGCUCAUCGUGGCGGAGCGCUGUGCGGGAUCCAUUUUGCUGGCGUGUUCUGGACUUCCGGUCUUGGGACACCAUUUCUUCUCGCCUCGGCUGCCGGCGCGAUGAAGCUGUCGACUUCGCUGAUCUAUUCAAUUUCGCUAUUUCCCGAAGUGUGGGACGCAUCGAUUGUGUUUACUUCCCAAGCUUUUCCGAUGAGACCAAUCUUGAAUACCUUGCAAACAGGUGUCCAAUGCUUCAAUAUUUCAGCAUGGAGAAUCCUGAUGUAUCUGAAACUGAAUUUUGCAAAACCAUCAGUAAACUCAAAUUUCUUAAGGGAAUGGCUGUGGAUGAGAAUUUAAUCUGUCAUCAGGUCCUUCAACAUGUCAACCAAUGUUCUAGUAACUUUAUCGAGUUGAAGGUCUUUUCUGAUACCAUGGAUAAACAAUUGGCUUCUAUCAUUUGUGACUGUCUACCACACCUUCAAAAGCUUGAGAUCACUGAAUGCAUAAUGUCAAGAGGUGCUAUCCUUACUCUACUUGAUGGGUUGAAGAAGCUUGAAUUCCUUGAUGUCUCUGGAUAUGCAAUAUCUGGCAUCACUAAUGAGGUUAUUGAAAAGGCUUCACAUCUUAAGGUUUUUCGGUGGGAUUCUAAGUAUGGUAAGUAUGGUUUUGGUGUAUUUGAGUAUUGUCAUCAUUGUGAGGACGACUAUUUUCAUCUGUCACCUUGUGAAUGUGUGCUGCAUCAACAGCUCAUGGGGUGGCUAGCAACCCUUCCUUGAGAUGGUUCAUUUCAUGUGGUUGAACUUUCUACUGCUGUACUGGUCUCAGGGUAUGAGUUUUUUGUUGGGCUAUUCUGUCUAUGCUUGUUAUUCAAGAAUGCGCUUCGCAUGCCCUAGCCAAGAAAUUAUGUUUGCUUGUCUUUAGAGUGACGCUCAAGUUAGAAGCAUGAGUUAAAAAGGAAUCAUUCUAGUUGUACUGAAAAGGAAUAUCCUAUAGGAUUCCUAGGCUUUCAAUGAUUUUUCCAUGACUUAUAAAAUGGCAACAUUUUUAAUGAAGGAAAAUGCAAACAUUGGGACAUUCUUAUCACUUAAGUGGAUGGUAUAUUUGACAUUAGCAAAAGUAUUUAUUUAUUUAUU
Dendrobium catenatum is the source of this 1308-nucleotide RNA transcript. It is a transcript of the gene named F-box/LRR-repeat protein At3g48880, with no coding region annotated. The record is from RefSeq and is a predicted model, not a curated record. Lineage: Eukaryota; Viridiplantae; Streptophyta; Magnoliopsida; Asparagales; Orchidaceae. The transcript has 3 exons.